AACAGGAUUAGAUACCCUGGUAGUCCACGCCCUAAACGAUGUCUACUAGUUGUCGGGUUUUAAUUAACUUGGUAACGCAGCUAACGCGUGAAGUAGACCGCCUGGGGAGUACGGUCGCAAGGUUAAAACUCAAAGGAAUUGACGGGGACCCGCACAAGCGGUGGAUGAUGUGGAUUAAUUCGAUGCAACGCGAAAAACCUUACCUACCCUUGACAUGUACGGAAGUCACGAGAGAUCGAGAUGUGCUCGAAAGAGAACCGUAACACAGGUGCUGCAUGGCUGUCGUCAGCUCGUGUCGUGAGAUGUUGGGUUAAGUCCCGCAACGAGCGCAACCCUUGUCAUUAGUUGCUACAUUUAGUUGAGCACUCUAAUGAGACUGCCGGUGACAAACCGGAGGAAGGUGGGGAUGACGUCAAGUCCUCAUGGCCCUUAUGGGUAGGGCUUCACACGUUAUACAAUGGUACAUACAGAGGGCCGCCAACCCGCGAGGGGGAGCUAAUCCCAGAAAGUGUAUCGUAGUCCGGAUCGCAGUCUGCAACUCGACUGCGUGAAGUUGGAAUCGCUAGUAAUCGCGGAUCAGCAUGUCGCGGUGAAUACGUUCCCGGGUCUUGUACACACCGCCCGUCACACCAUGGGAGCGGGUUUUACCAGAAGUAGGUAGCUUAACCGCAAGGGGGGCGCUUACCACGGUAGGAUUCGUGACUGGGGUGAAGUCGUAACAAGGUAACC
RNAcentral lists this ribosomal RNA (729 nucleotides) under uncultured bacterium. Its description in RNAcentral is "bacterial SSU rRNA". It matches the Rfam family "Bacterial small subunit ribosomal RNA", at positions 771 to 1501 of the family's 1533-position model. The record is from RNAcentral.